RNAcentral lists this ribosomal RNA (408 nucleotides) under uncultured bacterium. RNAcentral's name for it is "partial 16S ribosomal RNA". It matches the Rfam family "Bacterial small subunit ribosomal RNA", at positions 28 to 526 of the family's 1533-position model. The record is from RNAcentral.
GACGAACGCUGACGGCGUGCUUAACACAUGCAAGUCGAAGGGAGUGGCGAACGGGUGAGUAACACGUGAGUAACCUGCCCUUUUCUUUGGGAUAAGCCUGGGAAACUGGGUCUAAUACUGGAUGGAUUGGGAUGGGCUCGCGGCUUAUCAGCUUGUUGGUGGGGUGAUGGCUUACCAAGGCUUUGACGGGUAGCCGGCCUGAGAGGGGGGAUGGUGACACUGGGACUGAGAUACCGCCCAGGCUACGAAGGGGGGGAGAAGUGGGGGAUAUUGCACAAUGCACGAAAGUCCGAUGCAGCGACGUCGUGUGGGGGAUGAAGGCCUUCGGGUUGUAAACACCUUUCGCCCGCGGAAUGGUAGUGGGUAAAGAAGCGCCGGCUAACUACGUGCCAGCAGCCGCGGUAAUUC